UGAGAGUGUCUGUCUACACAAUUAGGCCCCUGUCUCUAAUCAACGGAUGCCUCACGGAUACAAGGCUGUUCACAUACGGAAUGUACCUUGUACAUGCACCAACUUCAUGUUGGCUUAUCAGUUCCACCUUCUGUUCUUUAACACGAUAAGAAAUCACCAUAGUCCCCAGUCCAAGUAUCAGAAUGUCACCAUUAAUGAACCCCAAAGCCCUGCAAACACCAAAUGUGCUCCCCGCGUCAUAAGGAAGAUUGAUUACUGACUUCAGGCUCAUAUCCAUAUUCCCGUGAAUGUUUAU
RNAcentral lists this long non-coding RNA (295 nucleotides) under Gossypium barbadense (sea-island cotton). RNAcentral describes it as "long non-coding RNA (GBAR_LNC010218)". The record is from RNAcentral. Lineage: Eukaryota; Viridiplantae; Streptophyta; Magnoliopsida; Malvales; Malvaceae.